Molecule: ribosomal RNA, 253 nt
Filed under: uncultured bacterium
Lineage: Bacteria
Description: partial 16S ribosomal RNA
Rfam family: Bacterial small subunit ribosomal RNA
Source: RNAcentral
UACGUAGGGUGCAAGCGUUGUUCGGAAUUACUGGGCGUAAAGCGCGCGUAGGCGGCUUUGUAAGUUAGAGGUGAAAGCCCGGAGCUCAACUCCGGAACUGCCUUUAAGACUGCAUCGCUAGAAUUGUGGAGAGGUGAGUGGAAUUCCGAGUGUAGAGGUGAAAUUCGUAGAUAUUCGGAAGAACACCAGUGGCGAAGGCGACUCACUGGACACAUAUUGACGCUGAGGUGCGAAAGCGUGGGGAGCAAACAGG